Molecule: long non-coding RNA, 284 nt
Organism: Hordeum vulgare subsp. vulgare (domesticated barley)
Lineage: Eukaryota; Viridiplantae; Streptophyta; Magnoliopsida; Poales; Poaceae
Exons: 3
Source: RefSeq, a predicted model, not a curated record
GUGGGAGGAUAGUUGUUCUCUCAGUCCUUGUACUUCUUCUCUACCCCUUUCUGUAGGUUUGGACUGUGAUAGGAACAUUGUGGUUUAACAGUGCAAGGAGCUGUUUGCCAGACGAAGGACAAAAAUGGGGCUUCCUGAUAUGGCUGCUUUUCAGUUACUGUGGACUCGCUUGUAUUGCAUGUGUGGCUGUUGGAAAGUGGCUAAACCGAAGGCAUGCUCUCCAACUGAGGGCACAACAGGGGAUUCCGGUCUCUGAAUACGGGGUAAUGUUUCCAUUUAUUUCU